CCUCUGAUUAGCUGGAUACCCAACCAUCAACCGUUUGCUGGUAGGGGCAUGCCUCGGCAUGAGUUGCA
This 68-nucleotide ribosomal RNA is filed under the name Pyramimonas obovata. RNAcentral's name for it is "partial Bacterial large subunit ribosomal RNA". Lineage: Eukaryota; Viridiplantae; Chlorophyta; Pyramimonadophyceae; Pyramimonadales; Pyramimonadaceae. The record is from RNAcentral.